This 455-nucleotide ribosomal RNA is filed under the name uncultured bacterium. RNAcentral describes it as "bacterial SSU rRNA". It matches the Rfam family "Bacterial small subunit ribosomal RNA", at positions 64 to 524 of the family's 1533-position model. The record is from RNAcentral.
GAGCGAGAGUAAUGGUGUGCUUGCACAGCAUAACUCUAGCGGCGGACGGGUGAGUAACACGUAGGCAACCUACCAUAUACACAGGGAUACCUAUGGGAAACUAUAGUUAAUACCAGAUAAGAUAGUAAAGUCGCAUGACAAAGCAAUAAAAGACGAAAGUCGGUAUAUGAUGGGCCUGCGUCUGAUUAGCUAGUUGGUGUGGUAAAAGCAUACCAAGGCAACGAUCAGUAGCCGACCUGAGAGGGUGAACGGUCACACUGGGACUGAGACACGGCCCAGACUCCUACGGGAGGCAGCAGUAGGGAAUAUUGCACAAUGGGCGCAAGCCUGAUGCAGCAACGCCGCGUGAAGGAGGAAGGCUUUACGGGUCGUAAACUUCUUUAGGUUGGGAAAAAUAAAAUGAUGGUACCAACAAAAUAAGCCCCGGCUAACUACGUGCCAGCAGCCGCGGUAAU